AGAGUUUGAUCCUGGCUCAGGACGAACGCUGGCGGCGUGCCUAACACAUGCAAGUCGAACGGAGAAUUUCAAUAAGUUUACNNNNNUAGUGGCGAACGGGUGAGUAACGCGUGAGCAACCUGACUCUUAGAGGGGGAUAACACUCGGAAACGAGUGCUAGUACCGCAUAAGACCACGACGUGGCAUCAUGACGAGGUCAAAGGAGCAAUCCGCUUUGGGAGGGGCUCGCGUCCCAUUAGCUAGUUGGUAGGGUAAUGGCCUACCAAGGCGACGAUGGUUAGCGGGUCUGAGAGGAUGAUCCGCCACACUGGAACUGGAACACGGACCAGACUCCUACGGGAGGCAGCAGUGAGGAAUAUUGGGCAAUGGGCGCAAGCCUGAACCAGCCAUCCCGCGUGCAGGAAGAAGGUUUUCGGAUUGUAAACCUCUGUCCUUGGGGACGAAAAAAAUGACGGUACCCGAGGAGGAAGCCCCGGCUAACUACGUGCCAGCAGCCGCGGUAAUACGUAGGGGGCGAGCGUUGUCCGGAAUUACUGGGCGUAAAGGGUGCGUAGGCGGUUUAUUAAGUUGGAUGUGAAAUACCCGGGCUUAACUUGGGAGGUGCAUCCAAAACUGGUAGACUAGAGUACAGGAGAGGGAAGCGGAAUUCCUAGUGUAGCGGUGACGGUGAAUGCGUAGAUAUUAGGAGGAACACCCGUGGCGAAGGCGGCUUUCUGGACUGUAACUGACGCUGAGGCACGAAAGCGUGGGGAGCAAACAGGAUUAGAUACCCUGGUAGUCCACGCUGUAAACGAUGAAUACUAGGUGUAGGGGGUAUCAACUCCCCCUGUGCCGGAGCAAACUCUAUUAAGCAUUCCGCCUGGGGAGUACGGCCGCAAGGUUGAAACUCAAAGGAAUUGACGGGGGCCCGCACAAGCAGCGGAGCAUGUGGUUUAAUUCGAAGCAACGCGAAGAACCUUACCAAGGCUUGACAUCCACUUAAACGCAUGGAAACAUGCGGUCUCUUCGGAGGAAGUGAGACAGGUGGUGCAUGGUUGUCGUCAGCUCGUGUCGUGAGAUGUUGGGUUAAGUCCCGCAACGAGCGCAACCCUUGCCUUUAGUUGCCAGCACAUAAUGGUGGGCACUCUAGAGGGACUGCCGGUGACAAACCGGAGGAAGGUGGGGAUGACGUCAAAUCAUCAUGCCCCUUAUGACCUGGGCUACACACGUGCUACAAUGGCCGGUACAAAGGGCAGCAAAGCCGCGAGGUGGAGCCAAUCCCAAAAAGCCGGUCUCAGUUCGGAUUGGCAGGCUGAAACUCGACUGCAUGAAGCCGGAGUUGCUAGUAAUCGCGAAUCAGCAUGUCGCGGUGAAUGCGUUCCCGGGUCUUGUACACACCGCCCGUCACACCAUGGGAGUUGGGAGCGCCCGAAGCCAGUGAGCUAACCAGCAAUGGAGGCAGCUGUCGAAGGCGAGAUCAAUGACUGGGGUGAAGUCGUAACAAGGUAACC
Molecule: ribosomal RNA, 1490 nt
Filed under: uncultured bacterium
Lineage: Bacteria
Description: 16S ribosomal RNA
Rfam family: Bacterial small subunit ribosomal RNA
Source: RNAcentral